RNAcentral lists this ribosomal RNA (400 nucleotides) under uncultured bacterium. Its description in RNAcentral is "bacterial SSU rRNA". It matches the Rfam family "Bacterial small subunit ribosomal RNA", at positions 355 to 771 of the family's 1533-position model. The record is from RNAcentral.
UGAGGAAUUUUCCGCAAUGGCCUAUUGGCUGACGGAGCGACACAGUGUGAAGGAUGAAGGUUCUCGGAUCGUAAACUUCUUUUCUGAGGGAAUAAAGUUUGAAGUUACCUCAGGAAUAAGCACCGGCUAACUACGUGCCAGCAGCCGCGGUAAUACGUAGGGUGCAAGCAUUAUUCGGAAUUAUUGGGCGUAAAGAGUUUGUAGGCGGCGAAUUAAGUAGGAGGUGAAAACUCCGGGCCCAACCCGGAAUCCGUCUCCUAAACUGGUUUGCUAGAGGUAUGUAGAGGCAAGUGGAAUUUCCGGUGUAGGGGUAAAAUCCGUUGAGAUCGGAAGGAACGCCAAAAGCGAAGGCAGCUUGCUGGACAUACCUGACGCUGAGAAACGAAAGCGUGGGGAGCAA